RNAcentral lists this ribosomal RNA (489 nucleotides) under uncultured bacterium. Its description in RNAcentral is "partial 16S ribosomal RNA". It matches the Rfam family "Bacterial small subunit ribosomal RNA", at positions 28 to 506 of the family's 1533-position model. The record is from RNAcentral.
GAUGAACGCUAGCGAUAGGCUUAACACAUGCAAGUCGAGGGGCAGCAUGGUCUUAGCUUGCUAAGACUGAUGGCGACCGGCGCACGGGUGCGUAACGCGUAUGCAACUUGCCUCACAGAGGGGGAUAACCCGUCGAAAGACGGACUAAUACCGCGUACACUUGGGAUAGGGCAUCCUGACCCAAGGAAAUGAAAUUCGCUGUGAGAUAGGCGUGCGUCCCAUUAGCUAGUUGGUGAGGUAACGGCUCACCAAGGCGACGAUGGGUAGGGGAACUGAGAGGUUGAACCCCCACACUGGUACUGAGACACGGACCAGACUCCUACGGGAGGCAGCAGUGAGGAAUAUUGGUCAAUGGGCGAGAGCCUGAACCAGCCAAGUCGCGUGAAGGAUGACUGUCUUAUGGAUUGUAAACUUCUUUUAUACGGGAAUAACAAGAGCCACGUGUGGCUCCCUGCAUGUACCGUAUGAAUAAGCAUCGGCUAACUCCGU